Molecule: long non-coding RNA, 1268 nt
Organism: Lycium barbarum (goji berry)
Lineage: Eukaryota; Viridiplantae; Streptophyta; Magnoliopsida; Solanales; Solanaceae
Exons: 3
Source: RefSeq, a predicted model, not a curated record
AGAUAUGGCUUCUGUUAAAGUGCUGUGGCGGAAUAAUAACCGAGAGGAAAUGACCUGGGAAGCUGAGGAGCAGAUGAAGAAAAAGUAUCCUCACCUAUUUCCAGUACCUUCAGGUAAUCCAAUUUCUAUGUUUGACUAUAUUGAUUUGUGAAUCAUUCGUAUAUGAUGGCUAUAAAAGAAACUCCCUCGAAUUUGAGUAAGAUCCGUAGCAUUAAUCCAACAUUCGAGGACGAAUGUUCUUAAGGGGGGGAGGAUGUUACGUCCCGUAUUUUUAUACAUUGGAACAACCCGGAUUAACUAUGAUAAUUUAAGGCCAAGAUUAUUCCGGGAUUUGAAGUCGGGACUUUUGACCAUUUGAUUUUAAUUUGAGAUAUAAGUCAUGUAUGAAAUUGAUGGCAUUGAACACUUAGGGAAAAUUGGGACUACAAUUCAUAAAAUUGGAACUAAAAUGUUGUGCAAAAAAAAAAAAAAUCCUUGGUGGCCAUGUAAAUGGGAAUUGGUCCCACACAUUGUGUGGCCAAUUUUAAUUGGUCCACCCCAUGUGUGGGCCAUGGACACUUGGACAAUAUUCAUAUAAGCACAAAAGAUGACCAAGUAGUCAUCUUUUCUACCAUUCCAUCAAAAAAAAAAAAAGAGCAAGAAGUUGAAGAACAACUUCAACCACACGGCCAAGAACAAAAAAAAAAACAAAUCCAAUUCAAGCCAUCCCAAAAUUAUUUCUUUGGUGUAAACCCACUAUUUUGAGGUCCCUAAGUAGUGUGGAAGUGUUGUUGGGGCGAUCAAAUCAUCCGUUUGGCAAGAUCACAAACCCUAACUAUUUGUGGGAUUGAAGAAGAAAGACCUUGGGGAGCCCGAGGCGUAGAUUUGGAUUAGCUUUAGAUUGAUUCGCUUGGAGUGCGUACGAGGUACAGACGCACAGCCUGGUGAUCCACCUGUUUAGGACACCCUUUCUGCUAUUCGGAGUGCUCCUCUCUUUCCGGAGCUUAUACUUUUGGUAUAUAUAUUUAUUAGUGCAUUUGUAUAUAUUCGUUCAUGGGUACGGCGGGGCCCUGUCCCGUCAAAUGAUUCUGUCGGUCUGUUUAGAGGUCUGUGGACAUGUUUGUGGGUUAGGGUCUUUCUGUAUGAAUGUAUGUACAUGUCGUUUGGGCGAUCACAUACGCCGAGGCGGCCGGUCCGCAUAUGUUGUUUGGGCGACCCUAUACGCCGAGGCGGCCGGUCCGCAUAUGUUUAUAUAUUGCUUGGUUAGCCCUGUGUGGCUUUCGUUGGUA